RNAcentral lists this long non-coding RNA (2312 nucleotides) under Felis catus (domestic cat). Its description in RNAcentral is "lncRNA (ENSFCAG00000045288.2)". The record is from RNAcentral. Lineage: Eukaryota; Metazoa; Chordata; Mammalia; Carnivora; Felidae.
CCCAGACCUUGCAUUGGCACCCUCAGUGGCCUGCACAGGACAGAUGUCUUGAUUUAUCUCAGCAUGAAGAAACUCCUGGCUGCCUGCCUGCUAGUCAGCCUGGUUCUUGCUUGACCCACUUUUUUUUUUUUUUAAUGUUUAUUUAUUUAUUUUGAGAGAGCGCACAAGCAGGGGAGAGGCAAAGAGAGAGGGAGAGAGAAUCCCAAGCAGGCUCCACACUGUCAACAUGGAGCCCAAGGUGGGGCUUGAUCUCAUGAACCAUGAGAUCAUGACCUGAGCCAAGGGUCAGAGGCCUAACCGACUGAGCCCCCCCAGGUACCCCUUGCUUGACCCACUUUGCCAACUCUCUGGCUACCUAGCCUCUCCCUCCCCUGCCACCUCUCCUACACACACACACACACACACACACACACACCCUAGGCUACCUCCUCGCGUCACCCAUACCACACUCCUCACAGAUGUUUUCUUCCUUCACAGCACAGUCUAUAUCAGAAGAUUGAGAAAAAACUUCUCAAUAUUUUCUUCUUCUCCAUUUCCUCUUUCCUCCAACCCCUUUGUCCCCUCUUUCUUCUUCUUUUUUUAAAAAUGUUUAUUCAUUUUUGAGAGAGCAUGAGUGGGGGAGGGGUAGAGAGAAAAGGACAGAGGAGCCGAAGCAGGCUCUGCGCUGACAGCAGUGAGCCCGAUGUGGGGCUCGAACUCACAAACUGUGAGAUCAUGACCUGGAUGAAGCUGGACACUCAACUGACUGAGCCGGCCAGACAACAGGGAGAUGCAGUCAGACCACGUGCCCAGAAAGAGAACCAGGAUGUUUGUAGACAGCACGUCCUGCCUUACUCCACAGCUGUCUGAGCCCCCAGCCUUCAAGAGCCCCUGGAAGUGCUAUCCAGCUGACAGUCCCCUCCUCAGUUCACUCCCACCCCAGGCUGCUUGCUGCUCUAAGAGCCCCUUGCACAGGGACUGCUGGAUUUGCCCACUAAGACUUGAGCCCCAGGAAUGGCCACACUUGGUCUAGACUUUCUUACAUGCCCCUGCUGUCCCCAGGCUUCUCUGCUCCAGGGGCCAGCUCCUCUGCCACCAGCUCUCUGCCAGGACCACCUUCGUCUCACCAGUGCCGACUGCUCAGGACCAAAGAGUUUCUCCUUGUCCAGCAGGUGCCACAGAGCCAAGCUGAGCACCCCCCGGCCCUCCACAACUCGGCUGGAGCAGCACUUUUUCGGCCAGCCCUCAUCAGAUUUAAAUUUGAGAAUGGAUCCCUUUGGCAGCCGUGAGGAAGGUGGGUUCCUCAUAAGCCAUGGGCUGAUGGUUGGCUUCGGUCUUAAAACGCUACAUCAGACAUCUGGGAUGUAAAUUGUGAAGAGCUGCCCUGAUAGUCACUGCAGACAGAUGGUCACCACAGAGAAAAGCUGAGGCAUGGUGGUCUGGAAAUGGACUACUCCAUUCUCCUCACUGAGUCAAGCUUAAUCAGGGACGUCAUGAGAAUUUUGUGUUAUCUUUAUCUCGAGAUGAACUUCCUUUUCUUAUCUAGGAUCAAGGCUUUUCAGCCCAUUCAUUUGCCAGGUUACUUGGGCUGAUCUUUCACAGAAUAAUCAAGAGUGUCAAACGAUUUCCUUGUACAUGAAACUGUUAUAAGAGACCUCAGCUAAGACACCUGUGGCCGCUAAGGGCACACAUUCUUCGGGAUCCUGUGAUCUCAUUGGCUACCACCACACUCUUUCAGACAUGGUGAGAACUAUCUCCUCUCCUCAUGACUCCCACGUCAGAGUCAGCUUCCCUUUCGUUGCAGGGUGAGGAGAGAGAACGAAAAUCAUUUCACACAGCCUUCUCACCUUACUGCUUUCCUCCACCCGAACCUAAAGAGGGACUUCUGAAAUCUGAGAUUUCUCCUCUGUCUUAAUGAGUAGAGAUUGAUGAAAAAAUACCAACAUUGGAGGACUAAACCAUUGCAUUUCAGGAUUGGUACCUAGCAGGGCCUGGACACGAUACAGAAAUAUAUUUGCUCCAGUAAGCUCCUCUCUAACUUUGGUUUUUGUUUUUUGAACAUCUGUCCUUUUCUUGGUGGGAUGUGUUCGUUAAAACAAUUCGCCCUCGGGGUGCCUGGGUGGCUCAGUCUGUUAAACGUCUGACUUCGGCUCAAGUCAUGAUCUCGCGGUUUGUGAGUUGGAGCCCCGCGUUGGGCUCUGUGCUGACAGUUCAGAGCCUGGAGCCUGCUUCGGAUUCUGUGUCUCCCUCUCCCUGUGCCCCUCCCCUCCUCACGCUCUGACUCUCUCUGUCUUUUAAUAAUAAAUAAACGUUAAAAACAAAAUUUAAAAACA